RNAcentral lists this ribosomal RNA (717 nucleotides) under uncultured bacterium. RNAcentral describes it as "bacterial SSU rRNA". It matches the Rfam family "Bacterial small subunit ribosomal RNA", at positions 28 to 740 of the family's 1533-position model. The record is from RNAcentral.
AUUGAACGCUAGCGGGAUGCCUUACACAUGCAAGUCGAACGGCAGCGCGGACUUCGGUCUGGCGGCGAGUGGCGAACGGGUGAGUAAUAUAUCGGAACGUGCCCAGUAGCGGGGGAUAACUACUCGAAAGAGUAGCUAAUACCGCAUACGCCCUACGGGGGAAAGGGGGGGAUCGCAAGACCUCUCACUAUUGGAGCGGCCGAUAUCGGAUUAGCUAGUUGGUGGGGUAAAGGCCCACCAAGGCGACGAUCCGUAGCUGGUUUGAGAGGACGACCAGCCACACUGGGACUGAGACACGGCCCAGACUCCUACGGGAGGCAGCAGUGGGGAAUUUUGGACAAUGGGGGAAACCCUGAUCCAGCCAUUCCGCGUGUGCGAUGAAGGCCUUCGGGUUGUAAAGCACUUUUGGCAGGAAAGAAAUCGCACAAAUUAAUACUUUGUGUGGAUGACGGUACCUGCAGAAUAAGCACCGGCUAACUACGUGCCAGCAGCCGCGGUAAUACGUAGGGUGCAAGCGUUAAUCGGAAUUACUGGGCGUAAAGCGUGCGCAGGCGGUUCGGAAAGAGAGGUGUGAAAUCCCAGGGCUUAACCUUGGAACUGCACUUUUAACUCCCGAGCUAGAGUAUGUCAGAGGGGGGUGGAAUUCCGCGUGUAGCAGUGAAAUGCGUAGAUAUGCGGAGGAACACCGAUGGCGAAGGCAGCCCCCUGGGAUAAUAC